GACGAACGCUGGCGGCGUGCCUAACACAUGCAAGUCGAGCGGGGUUGAAGCGAGGGGUAACUCAAGCUUCUACCUAGCGGCGGACGGGUGAGUAACGCGUGGGCAACCUACCCCAAAGUCCGGGAUAACAGUGGGAAACCGCUGCUAAUACCGGAUGGCUUUACCUGAGGGCAUCCUCGGGUAAAGAAAGGUUACGCUUUGGGAUGGGCCCGCGUCCCAUUAGCUAGUUGGUGAGGUAAAGGCUCACCAAGGCGACGAUGGGUAGCCGGCCUGAGAGGGUGGACGGCCACACUGGGAUUGAGAUACGGCCCAGACUCCUACGGGAGGCAGCAGUCGAGAAUAGUCUACAAUGGCCGGAAGGCUGAUAGUGCGACGCCGCGUGAACGAGGGAGCCCUUCGGGGUGUAAAGUUCUUUUCUAUACGAGCAGUGCUAUAUAUAUGGAUAGUAUAUAUAGAGGGAUAGUAGUAUAGGAAUAAGCAACGGCUAACUCCGUGCCAGCAGCCGCGGUAAUCAUA
RNAcentral lists this ribosomal RNA (516 nucleotides) under uncultured bacterium. RNAcentral describes it as "bacterial SSU rRNA". It matches the Rfam family "Bacterial small subunit ribosomal RNA", at positions 28 to 525 of the family's 1533-position model. The record is from RNAcentral.